This 253-nucleotide ribosomal RNA is filed under the name uncultured bacterium. RNAcentral describes it as "partial 16S ribosomal RNA". It matches the Rfam family "Bacterial small subunit ribosomal RNA", at positions 524 to 776 of the family's 1533-position model. The record is from RNAcentral.
UACGUAGGUGACAAGCGUUGUCCGGAUUUACUGGGCGUAAAGAGCGCGCAGGCGGUCGUUCAAGUCGAGUGUGAAAGCCCCCGGCUCAACUGGGGAGGGUCAUUCGAUACUGAUCGACUCGAAGGCAGGAGAGGGUAGUGGAAUUCCCGGUGUAGCGGUGAAAUGCGUAGAUAUUGGGAGGAACACCAGUGGCGAAGGCGGCUCACUGGACCGGAACUGACGCUGAGGCGCGAAAGCGUGGGGAGCAAACAGG